AAUGAGUGAAUUAAUAGACAGAAUGAGUUUUGAGGUUUUUUUAAAUGAAAAAAUUGAUAUAUAAUUUAUAUACUAUAAAAUUCAAAUUGUAUGUGUGUGUGUGUGUGUGUGUGUGUGUGUGUGUGGUACUGGGAUUUGAACCCAAAGCCUACUAUAUACUAGACAAGUGUCCUACCAUUGACCUACAUCCAACCCUUUCCUUA
RNAcentral lists this small RNA (203 nucleotides) under Marmota monax (woodchuck). Lineage: Eukaryota; Metazoa; Chordata; Mammalia; Rodentia; Sciuridae. The record is from RNAcentral.